GGCGCUCGCUCACUCGUAGCAUUGAGUUUAAUGGUGCAGGUACUUUUAAAUGACCAUAACUUGCUCAAUUUUCUACCGAUUUUCAAACGGUUUGGAUUUUUACAAACGUUAUUAACGUGGCUAUAAUUCUGGAUGCUUUAACAUGUUUCAUGAAUUUAUUUUUUAUUUUUAGUAUAGGUAUGCAGUGUCAUAGGUACAUCUUUGACGUUUAUAACAAACCAAACCGUUUGAAAAUCGGUAAAAAAUUAAGCAAGUUAUGGUCAUUUAAAAGUACCUGCAUCAUUAAAACUCAAUGCUACGAGUGAGCGAGCGCCCUGUCGUAAGAUGGCCGCCAAAAUGCGGACGUUGCACUCCAUUGGCCAGCAGCGCGGACGAGCCAUCUAGCCUUUAUACAUAUCUAUGACGUCGCUGGCUGUCUGAACGAGGGGUUAAGCUGUUUUAAACAACUUUGGUGAAGAAAUGUGGAGUUUAACUUCAGGUGAUGUGCUCGACUUUAAGGAGUACCCGUUUCUAAGAACCGGUCCCAAACAUUAGAUUUAGCAGCUUGACCUUAUUUUCCUUUAAUGAUGUAAAUCCCCGAUCUUAAUUUCUCCCCCACCUCGUUUUCCAUCUUCACUUUUUCUCAGUUUGUUUUGCUGUUGUCGCUGACGACGGGAGCUGCCUGCUUGGCGCUUUUGUAACGUGAGGUCAAAGGUUUGGACAUCACGCAAGUUACGUUGCUACGUAGGCCUACACGUGUUGUAUCCAGCGGUUACCUUACAACUAACGCAGAACAAAGAUAAAGUGAAUACUCACCGCCAGAAACAACAUGCAGUACAUCCCGAAAGAGGAGUGACCCGAGUAGAACGACAGCCUGGUGCAGAAGAGCCGUGGGAGGGAUGGAGAUACGAACAGACAACAAAAAAAUAGGACGAGAGGAAACAGUUACCAUUGUGUAAAAGAAUGGAGCAUUUUCUGAAGUGGUGAACAGACUGACUGAAGAUAUUUUAAAUGUUGUCUGAUCCAUUAUAUUGAUUAAUAACAAGAUCAGCUUUUGAUUUUGACCUUCAUAUCACUGUGCAUUAUUUAAAAAAGUUGAAAAACUAGCAAUUGUUUUUAUUUGAAAUUCGUCUUACGUGAUCCAGUCGUGUUGUGUCUACGUGUACUUGAGUAAAGCUUAAAUGUUAAUUUCAUGUUGAGAAAAUGCAAGUCAAUCAUGUGGAACCACUGUCCAUUAAAUUAUGUUUACCCCAAAAGUUUUUUUUAGUGUAUCAAACAAAAUGCUGAAUAUGGGUUGGGUUUAGGGUUGCAACCUUGUACUGCAAGUACAUGACUGUAAAAUAUAGUUCUACCCAAACUUUAUCAGAUGCAUCUGAAGCUUUUAUAGAAACCACUUUGGGUUUUUUCACUGAACCUCAAGGUCCAUAUGAUUUGAGGAAAUCCUGCAUAUUAUUGUUGUCAUGGUUGGUGCUUCCACAGAUAAAAGGGAAAUUUUAAGUAGCUUAAAUGUUUCCAAUUAAUCCUUUAGUUGGUCAAAACUAAAAAAACAAAGAAGAAGUACUGAGACUAUAUCCUGAAGUAAUAUGAGCCUCUUACAAGCAUGAAUUCCUUUGAAAGUGCUGAUGCAUCAUGGGAAAGAGGAAAUAAGUUCAUCGUACAGUAUCCUGUACACAUAAAAAUAUAAAAGUAUAAAUCAGACAAGUCUAAUAUCAUAAGACCUCAUCAAAGCACCAGAAGAGGAAAUUUAUCAAGAGCGGAUGUUUUAAGCAAAGGCACGAACUACACUCUCAGACAAAAAGGUACAAAAGUUGUCACUGGGACGGUAACUUUUAUCAAAAGGUCCUUAUAUGUACCAUUUUGGUACAAGUAUGUAUCUCUAAGGUAUCAAUGUGCAUCUUUUAGCUACAACGUGUAGGAAGGAUAACAUAGCGGGGAACACUCCCCAGAACUAAAAAUAAAUGUAAAAAACAAAUCCAUAAUAAAUUCAAUAAAUGCAGAAAGUUUCACCUGUAUUUUUAACUCAUUCUCCGCCAGCCAUUUUUUGAAAAGUCGCCCACCAGCAAUUUUUGUGAUUUUCACAAAAUGCC
This is a non-coding RNA of Misgurnus anguillicaudatus (oriental weatherfish), 2066 nucleotides long. Lineage: Eukaryota; Metazoa; Chordata; Actinopteri; Cypriniformes; Cobitidae. The record is from RefSeq and is a predicted model, not a curated record.